This 159-nucleotide microRNA precursor is filed under the name Oryza glumipatula. RNAcentral's name for it is "MIR812 microRNA precursor family". It matches the Rfam family "MIR812 microRNA precursor family". Lineage: Eukaryota; Viridiplantae; Streptophyta; Magnoliopsida; Poales; Poaceae. The record is from Rfam by way of RNAcentral.
UCUCAUUUUAACCAUAAGUGUAUCUAAUUUUGAUUGUUCGUCAUAUUUUUUUUUAAUUAGUAUUUUUGUUAGUGCUUUAUGCGUGACUUAUGUUUUUAAUUUUUUUUAAAUAAAACAGACAAUUAAAGUUUGGCACGGAAAAUUAUGGCUGCCCUUAAA